AAUUUUCUAUACUUUUUAGUCUGAUGCUGAAAACCCAGCCUCUAUGCACUGGUGCCGAGCCAAAUCUCAUCUCAGAGACAGUGUUUUGGGUGAAGCAGAAAAGAAUAGUUUUAUUGCUUUGCCAGGCAAAAGGGGACACAGAGGGCUCUUGCCCUUGAUAAUUGUGUGUCCCCACCUGGGAGGAUUUAGUGGAGUUUUUACAGCAAUAGUUCAAGGGCAAGGUUGCUGAUAAGAUUAGGGUGUGCACUCCUUUACUCUGGUCUCAGGUAAUCUCCUAAUGAGCUACUCUGGUUCCUUUAAUCUGGCCUCUGGUGGUCUUCUCUGGAAUGAAGAAUGCUAACUCCAUUUGUUGGGGGUUUUAGUUCUGUAAAGAGCUCAAAGACAUUGUUAUGUGCAUCCCUUGAGGCAGAACCAGGACCUGCCCCAAGGCUGCAGCUCUUGUUUCUUGGCUGUUCCUCCCUUGUCUCUGCAUCCCCUCCCUUCCCUGAUUAGCAACUGUUUGAAUCUCCCCUUUGGGACUCAGGGAAGGUCAUGGAGGCUGGAGUCUGGUCCCUACAAACAAGGAAUGGGGGACAGGGAAAGGCUUCCAUGUCCAGGAGCCCCACAGGGUCCUGCUUGGUUUCAAGUCUACCUGAUCUGAAAAUCAGAAAUUCUCCACAGUAUCUCCAGAUACAUGUAUUUUGGAUUUAGGCUCCUCUGUGACCCGCCCCCCCACCCCCCGGUUUUUUUAAGUACUGCUCUGAUGUUAGGUAGUUAGUGAAUUCUUCUCAUUUCUGCUCAGUGAAAUAUUUUUCUAUUCAACUGUCCCUUUCCUCUCCUUUCCCUUAUUGCUGUUUUCUCAGAAUCCCUGAGAGUCAGAUUUUGGCUUAAGAUUAGGAAGCUCCUUCUGGAAGCUGGAGGAGCCCAUGAUGGUGGGAGCCAGCUGUGCUGCCGUCACUGGAUUGACACCAGCAGAAACAGGGACUGUCCUGUCAAGAUGCUGGAGUGAGAAGGCUAUGGAAACUGAUGCUAUUAAGCUUACUCAUGCUUAUUUUUAAACCACAAUAUUCCUUUGGCUUCCAAUAAUACAACUUUCCUCUUCCUCCUGGCAGCCUGAGGAGAAAGCCCCAAGAACCAGCCGGAUAUACGCUUCUACAUGAAAAGACCUGAAGAGGUGAUUUUGAUUUGGCUAUCUGGAUGCUGAAUAAUUCUUUCAUUUUAAUCUUUGGAGUUCAAUAAUGUAGUUGGCAUUUUAAAAAUGAAGCAUGGUUAAAGGUCAAGGAAUGGCUGUGCCAAUGGGUGACUAUAGGUAAGUCAAGAAAUGAGUUUGUUGAGCUUUGGCAGUCGAGGAAAUCUGUGUGGAAUCGGGACCCAUCCUGGAUACUCUGACUCUGGCGUCUGUUGCUGUCCGGUGGAGACGGCUGCGCAGACCUCAUAGCACCAGCCUUCGCCAUUGAGGAAGGUUUACGAAAGGUGUGGGUGUUGACAGACAGCGGCAUUGAGAACAGAUGAGACAACUAAGGAGAGAGAUGUAAAGAGUUAACGCAACAUGACGCAGAUGCAACUUAUCAUCAAGAAGAUGGAGCUGCUUCCCAAGUUGUGCAAAAGAGACGGCCCCCCCUCAAAUUAUCUGCAGAAAUCAGAUCAAAAUCCUGCAGACUUUCAAGUAUUUUAACUCAAAAUUGGUAACGGUCUAAACGGUGCCUUUUCUCAGUGGCUAUACACGUGGGGAGAGAAAAAUAGUAGCUCCAGGAGUAUGCCUUGGAAGGGAGUAAAGAAAGGCCAGACACAGUUCAAGGUUAUAGCUGAACGCAACGGCACUGAUGAGAAUUUGGACAGGUAAUACCCUCUCUUGAGAAAUUGUGAAUGUGAAGGAUCCUGGAGAAGAAUGUUGAAGUAUGAUAGCAUUAGAGUUUAAACGCUCUCAAAGAAUCUUGCUGGCUCAUUGCACAAAGAAAAGAGAGAUAUUUUAAUCAUGAGCUAUCUAUCAUCACUUGAAUUUGAAGGCCCGUUUUGAAGUCACAAGCUACUGACUCCCAUGAUGUCAGUUUUUAGGUCUCUUGCCGGAACGAAAAAGGUAUG
Long non-coding RNA from Orcinus orca (killer whale), 2061 nucleotides. RefSeq lists it as uncharacterized. The transcript has 5 exons. NCBI's taxonomy places the organism in Eukaryota, Metazoa, Chordata, Mammalia, Artiodactyla, Delphinidae. The record is from RefSeq and is a predicted model, not a curated record.